AUAACAGUAAAGAUUGGAAAUAGUAAAAGGAUUUAUAAAUUUGUCAGAGAGCCGAUGGUUGGUGAGAAUCGGUAGUUGUAGCCUUUGAACUCAUCCAUGAGCUACUCCCUGAACAUAAUCAGUAGGGGAUGUCGGUUUUCUACCGUUAUGAAGAUAGGUGGUGAUUGCCACCGAAAAUGAGUGGGUUAAUUAUUAUGAUGAUUAAUCAAUUAGAGUGGUACCGCGAGCAAUGCCUCGUCUCUAUA
This is a regulatory RNA element of 245 nucleotides. It matches the Rfam family "T-box leader". Rfam says of the family: Uncharged tRNA acts as the effector for transcription antitermination of genes in the T-box leader family. T-boxes are found upstream of many aminoacyl-tRNA synthetase genes and some amino acid biosynthetic genes usually in Gram-positive bacteria. The anticodon of a specific tRNA base pairs to a specifier sequence within the T-box motif, and the NCCA acceptor tail of the tRNA base pairs to a conserved bulge in the T-box antiterminator hairpin. The record is from Rfam.